GAAGGCUCUUUCUCCUUUCUUAUUCUUCAUCUCUCUUCUCAUUCUUUCUUUCUCUCUGCUUCUUCUUCUCUGUUCAUCGCCUGAUAGAGAUUUGAGAGAUAAAUCGAGUUUUCAGAUCGAGAGAGAUAUGGGGAUGAUUGAGUAGUGGUUGUUGGUGGUUCUGAUUUUGGUUAGCUCUGGGAAGAAGAGGAGACGUCGGUGCUACUGUAAAUCGAAGAUAUGAUUUAUGAAUCUAGGUUUAUGUAUGAUGGAAAUGUGAAUUGUGAUGUUGAUAGAUGAGGAAAGGAUGGGAUUUUUGUUAGAUUGAGGAGGCGAAGCUUUUUUGAUGAUGAAUCGAAGAUUGGAAUUUAGUAAUUAGUGUUCUGCAUGUUUUUUUGGAAUUCAAAUUGGUCAAAGCUUGAGAAGAUUUAGGUAGAAUUAUAAGAUGGGUUUGUUUAAUUGAAGCUUCUGAAGCUGUUGUGGUGAUAAAUUGAGAAGAUAGGUUUAUGUGCAAGGAAUUAGGGUUCUUGAGUCUUAAACACAGAUAAAGAAGAUGUAAUUGAAGUUUUGGAGUUGAUUUGGUAAAGAAUUGAAGAUGAUUAGGGUUUCUGUUCUUCAAGAAAUAAGAACUAAGGUUUCAGAAGCAUUGGUUCGGUGAAUUAACAAUUCAGGGGAGGCCAAUGGUUGGGUAAGUUUCUGUUGUUUAAUUUCGCUAUUUGAAGUUGAAUUGCUAAUGAUUGUUGAGUUUAUAACUUUGUGUUCGAGACUGAGGUUGAGAUGAAUUGGGUAUUGCUUUGCUGAUGUUUUGAAGUAUAUGUCAUGUGCGACUGAAUCUGGUUGAUUAUCUGCAUAUGGGUAUUGACUGAAAUUGAAGUAGACAUGGUGGUGUAAGGAUGAUUUACAGGUUCCUUGUGAAAUUAAGGUUCACAAUUUAGAAUGGUGAUAAACUGAAGAUAAUUGAAUUGGGGAUGGAGUUGUCUGUGUAUUGAGAUUUCAAGUGAUGUAAAUGGGUAUGAACGAAUGAUGAUGGUAUUAACUGAAAUAGUAAUACUAGAUAUAAGCUGGGUCUGAUGUGUAUGAGGUGAAUGUGUGUUGUUGAAGAUGAGGUAUUGAAGUCGUUUAUUAAUAAGAAUGGGAGUUGAACUGUGGCUGACGUUGUUGGCCUAAUGGAUUCUAGGGAUGCUGAGCUGGGGAUGCAAUUGGUGUUAGUUUGUGAGAUAAUGAAAUUGCAGAUUCCGUAGGCAGUAAUGAAAUGGGGAUGUUGAUUGAACCGCGACUGAAUUGUUGUGCGUAUUGUAGUUAGUGAAUAUGAGAUGGAGGUGGUAAUAUGAUUGAUUGUAGUGGUAGUGUUGUAAUGGGGACGCAGGUGAUGCAAGUGAAGCUUUAGAUGAAUGUUAGGAAAUUACAGAUAAUGGUUUUCAGUGACUGCAAUGGGUUGCUGGACCGAAGUUACAAUUGUAGAUGGGUUGUAGGAUUAGUUAGUGCAUCAAGUGCAGGCUUGCAACUGCAAUUGCAGUUAGUCUAUAUUAACAACGCUCGAUUCAAAGGAUGAACCAGUGGAUCAUGGAUCUCGAGGUAGGCGUGGCUUGUCAUCAAAAGAGUUUCAGAGACAGAUCAGAGUUGCGCAACGAAAGCUCCGAGAAGUUAACUUCGUUAGUUGGUUAUAUUCUGACAAUGUUUAUUAUGUUGUAUAUUCUAUUUGUAAACCAAAUGACUAUUGUAUAUGUAUUAUUUUGAGAGGAGUUCUUGUAUAUAUAUAUUUCUGAGAGGGGCUAGUUUUGGGUUAAAUUCUGUAGCAGAUUUCUUAAUCGAAUGUUUAAGUAACUUAUUUAAAUUUUAG
Long non-coding RNA from Papaver somniferum (opium poppy), 1819 nucleotides. RefSeq lists it as uncharacterized. NCBI's taxonomy places the organism in Eukaryota, Viridiplantae, Streptophyta, Magnoliopsida, Ranunculales, Papaveraceae. The record is from RefSeq and is a predicted model, not a curated record. The transcript has 3 exons.